AGAGUUUGAUCAUGGCUCAGAACGAACGCUGGCGGCGUGGAUAAGACAUGCAAGUCGGACGAGAUUUUUCGUUGUAGCAAUACGAUGGAAAGUUUAGUGGCGAACGGGUGCUUAACACGUGGGCAACCUGCCGAGAAGUGGGGGAUAGCUCGCCGAAAGGCGAAUUAAUACCGCAUGUGAUUAGAGAGGACAUCCCUUUCGAAAUUAAAGUCGGGGCAACCUGACGCUUCUUGUGGGGCCCGCGGCCUAUCAGCUAGUUGGUGAGGUAACGGCCCACCAAGGCUUUGACGGGUAGCUGGUCUGAGAGGACGACCAGCCACACUGGGACUGAGACACGGCCCAGACACCUACGGGUGGCAGCAGUCGAGAAUUUUUGACAAUGGGGGAAACCCUGAUCGAGCGACGCCGCGUGGAGGAUGAAGGUCUUCGGAUUGUAAACUCCUGUCAUUGGGGAACAAUGCGUGACGGUUAACUGCCGUUGCGUUGAUAGUACCCGAAGAGGAAGAGACGGCUAACUCUGUGCCAGCAGCCGCGGUAAUACAGAGGUCUCAAGCGUUGUUCGGAUUCAUUGGGCGUAAAGGGUGCGUAGGCGGCGCGGUAAGUCGGGUGUGAAAUCUCGGAGCUUAACUCCGAAACUGCAUUCGAUACUGCCGUGCUUGAGGACUGGAGAGGAGACUGGAAUUUACGGUGUAGCGGUGAAAUGCGUAGAUAUCGUAAGGAAGACCAGUGGCGAAGGCGGGUCUCUGGACAGUUCCUGACGCUGAGGCACGAAGGCCAGGGGAGCAAACGGGAUUAGAUACCCUAGUAGUCC
Molecule: ribosomal RNA, 811 nt
Filed under: uncultured bacterium
Lineage: Bacteria
Description: bacterial SSU rRNA
Rfam family: Bacterial small subunit ribosomal RNA
Source: RNAcentral